Long non-coding RNA from Brassica napus (rape), 3936 nucleotides. RefSeq lists it as uncharacterized. The record is from RefSeq and is a predicted model, not a curated record. Lineage: Eukaryota; Viridiplantae; Streptophyta; Magnoliopsida; Brassicales; Brassicaceae. The transcript has 4 exons.
GUUAAGCUGGAGGAUUUAUACGUUCUUUAUUGAAGAUUUGUGUCCCUGCAUUUGUAUAAAUGAUCUUACACAUGUUUUUUUUAUUUGCUUAGAAAUGAUGGCCAGUAUAAUACUGAGGUGUUAAGCUGAAGGUUUUAUAUGUUCUUUAUUGAACGCUUUUGUGUUAAACACUUGUGUCUCUGUAUUUGUAUAAAUCAUCUUACACGUCAUUUUUAAUUUGUCUAAUAAUUAUGAUAAAAAAUAAGUAUUCUACAAUGAUGCAUAUCAAAAAUAUGAAAGAUGGAAGUCAAAAUUAAGGAACACAUAAUUUAGUGGUAGGGAAACUAUAACUAAUAACCUUUUUCUGAAAGUAUUAUUUUCUCAACACUUUUUAAAAGUUGUUAUUCUUACAAAUUAAGUAUGCCAGCUAGGGUUGAUCACCAAACACCUUUUCUAUUAGGAUGUAACUCAAUGACAUGUUUAGUGUUAACAAAGUAGAGUAAAGAAAUUUCAGCUGAAUAAUUAUGUUUUUAUCCAAUGAAAACAAAUAUGUUUUCAGCCAAGUUACGCUAAAAAGAAAUAAAGUGAAGUAACUUGUUUUCUAGAUUAAUAGAGAAAACAAAGAUUUAUGUUGGGUUUCACUUUUAUUUUUUUCUCCUUAGUUUAACUUUUUUCAUCUCACUUGACUUGUUAUUCAGUCACAAUUUUAGUAUUCUCUUUGUUUUAAGAUAUUGGUAGAUUUAGCUAAAACACACAAAUUUUAAAAUAUUAUUUUAAAGGUAGCAUUUAAUAUAUAUAUAUAUAUAUAUAUUAAAUAUAAUUGAACUAAUCAUAAAAUAUAUAUAAUUUGGUUGGCUACAUUAUACUUAAUAAAUGAAAAAAAUUACAUAGAAAUGUGAACAAUUUAUAUUUUGAAAAAAAAAACUCCUUGUAUUAUGAAAUAGAAAGAGUAUUAUUAAGGGAAAAUUCCAUUUAAAUACCCAAACUAAAUUUUAAUAAGCUUUUUAAUACCCCAAUUAUUUACCUGCCCAGAUUAAUACCCCAUCUAUUUAUUUUACCUAAAUUAAUACUCUGAGUAUAAACCGUAUACUUAUUUUCGAUCGUAUACGAAAGAGAGGUUACGGAAAACGUGAACGCGGUUUUGAUUCCAUCUUAUAUUUAACCUAUGGUGAGAAGGCUGAUGAUGAAGAAGAUAGUGAUGCUGAUGAUAGAGAAGAACAAGAAGAAAGUGAUGGGGAUAACCCUGAAGCAGAAACUGAUGAAGAAGAGAUAGCGGAAGAAGUUCAUCGAGAGGAAGAAGGUGGAGUACAAUCACAGGACGAGUCUGACAUUUUAGCUGAAGGAGAACCUGACCCACGGUUUGGAAACUUUUUUGAAUCAGUGGAAACUGAGACGCUUACACUCCUUUUUGAAGCACCACCUGCGGUGAAUAUUGACGACGAUGAAGCAGCUGAUAGUGAAGUCGAAACUGAGAAACCAAUUCCCACUGGUGAAUAUUCAGAUUCUCCUGAAGAUACUGAUGAAGAAUGGCAUAACUGGCAGAAGAAGGAUGGCCGUGGAAGAAGCUUUAAAGGAAAAAGCAAGGCUGGUUAUGAUAAGCCUCCUUACUUAUGGUUGAUGCAAACAUUCACAAAGGGGGAUGAGUUCAAGGAUCAAUUACUGAGGUAUGUGUUGAAAACUCAGUAUGAUGUGAAGUUGAAUAAGUGGCAACCAACAAAGUAUGCAGUAAUAUGCACACACGAGAAGUGCAAAUGGAGAAUAUAUUGCUCACUAUUAGGAAAUGGAUGGUCAAAUUAUAUGAGGACAAUCAUAAUCAUCUGCCAACAGGAAGAGCAAGGAUGCUCCAGCAGGGAGCUAUUGCACGUUUGUUCAAAGAAGAGACAAGACGAAGACCUGAAAUAAGGAGCUUUGACAUCAAAGAUGAGCUGAUGCACAGGUACAACAUAUCAGUUUCUAUAUAUAAAUGCAGAAAAGCGAGAAGAAUUGCAUUAGAUAUGGUGUUAGAUACUCAGAAACAGCAGUUUGCAAAGCUGUGGGACUAUGAGGCUGAGUUAAAAAGAAGUAACAAAAAUGUUACUACGGAGAUUGUGACUGUCGAGAAGGAUAGAAUCAAUGUAUUUGAAAGCUUCUAUAUCUGCUUUGAACCACUACGAAGAAUUUGGAAGAAAUGUUGCAGGCCUUUAAUAGGCCUUGAUGGUGCAUUCUUAAAGUGGGAGUUGAAGGGAGAGAUAUUAUCAGUAGUGGGUAGGGAUGCGGAAAACAGGAUUUAUCCGAUUGCUUGGGCUGUCGUAAGAGGAGAGAACAAGGAGUCUUGGGAAUGGUUUAUGAAGAAGUUGUCGGCUGACUUAGACUUGGGUGUAGGAGAUGGAAUUGCUUUUAUUAAUUUCAGACAAACAAAAGGGUUUGAAAGUGGCUCUUGCUACUGUUCUUCCAAACGCUGAGCACAAAAACUGUGCUAAGCAUGUCUAUGGCAACUGGAAAAAGAAAUAUGGAGAUCUUGAUUACAAACCCUUUUUUUUUUUGGAAUGUUGCUUACAGUAAAACAAAGGGAGAGUAUGAUUUGCACAUUGAAGCACUGAAAUCAUUUGAUAUCCACGCACAUGAUGAUUUGUUGGCAGCUGAUCCUACAACUUGGUGUCUUGCUUUCUUCUCGGGAAAUGCCAGAUCGGGUCAGGUUUGUAACAACUUAUCCGAGAGUUUCAACAAAACUAUCAAGGGAGCAAGAGAACUACCAUUGAUUAACAUGCUGGAAAGCAUUAGGAGACAAGCUAUGAUCCGUAUUUCUCGGAGACUUAAGAAAGCAAGAGCUUGCAUAAUGCCUUUCCCGAAGAAGGUUGCAGAUGUCCUAGAAUUAAAUCGAAGAGAGAGCAAGUAUUGUACUAUAUUUAUAAGUUCAGACAACUUGUUCGAAGUUCUGCUCCAUAGUUGUGGGUAUGAGGUCAGUGUUCGUCUCCGCCAUUGUGCUUGUCGUGAAUGGGACCUAACUGGGAUACCUUGUUGUCAUGCGAUAUGUGUCAUCAAUGACAACCACCAACAGCCAGAGAACCAUGUAGAUCCCUAUUACAAUACUGAUGUGUGGAUAGAGAACUACAGCGACAACAUCAAACCAGUUAAUGGAGAAAUAUUUUGGGCAAAAACCGGUAAAGAUCCAAUAGGAGUUCCAGGUUUUAGGAAGAUGUCAGGGAGACCGAAGAAAUAGAGGAUAAAAGCAGCUCAUGAGUCUCCUUCCAAACCAAAUAGAGUGACAAGAGAUGGUAGGACGAUAAUGUGUGGGAACUGUAAGAAGAUUGGACACAAUCGUGGAACAUGUAAAGAAGAUGCUUUUGUUGUCCAAGGUCCAGCACGCAAACGUGGAAGACCUCGUAAGAUACAAGUUGAUGGAUGCAUUAACCCACCAAAAAGGCGCAAGACUAGUCUAUCACAGCCCUCAAAUCAACAAUCUACUCCCAAUCAAUCACAAGCUUCAACUCAGCCUGCAAGCACUGCUCCUCAACCAACUACACGGAUACAAUCUCAGCCACCACCAUCUACUGUACCUACUGGUCGUGGACGCGGCCGUCGUGGACGACCUCCAGGAAGAGGACAAUCACGUAAAGUGACAGUGCCAAGAGGUGUUGGAGUGUACAUGUGCCCCUUCUCUGACCGUGUUUUUGAAUGUUUUGGUACUUCAAGAGAGGUUGGAGGAAGCUCUUCACAUGGUCCAAAGCCACGCAAGUAGGAAGCGUUUUCAAUAUAGUACUUUGUUUUGUUUGUCUGUAAACUCUACUUGUUUCUUUUUUUUAAUGUGUAAGCUCACUUUUAUCAAUUACUUUUUUUUUUAACACCUUUUAGAAGCAAACUAGCGUUUCAUUACUAAACAUAACAACUAAACAACAUUUCAGUCCGAACACAGCAACAAAAUAUUUCAAUCCUUUCAUAACACUACAACUAAAACCAUUACAAAUUACUUGAGCAUUG